AGUGUUUUAGGUUAAGUUAAACCGAAAGCCUUCAAAGCUUUAAAUGAGUAAAUUACUUAAACACUA
This 66-nucleotide transfer RNA is filed under the name Amphibalanus amphitrite. RNAcentral describes it as "tRNA-Trp". It matches the Rfam family "tRNA". Rfam says of the family: Transfer RNA (tRNA) molecules are approximately 80 nucleotides in length. Their secondary structure includes four short double-helical elements and three loops (D, anti-codon, and T loops). Lineage: Eukaryota; Metazoa; Arthropoda; Thecostraca; Balanomorpha; Balanidae. The record is from RNAcentral.